CUCCUCCUAGAGGAAAAUAUUGGUAGUUGCGGGAGACCUCCCUCCUCUCCACCCACCGGGUUCCCCCAAAGAAGUAUCUAGAAGUCCUCAACUUCUGUACAUUCAAAGAGAGCAGUGCACCUCCUGCAGGUAUGGGAAGAAGUCCCUUGGAAAGUGUGAUGAGUCUACUAGAUUUUACCGGUCUAGUUGGUUUUCAAGCUCCUGCUCACUGGGAUUCAGCAUAAAGGACAUUCCCAGUCCGAGAGGUUAAAAAAAAAUGAAGACAAAGCAGGUGAUUUACCAAGAAUGCAUUCCUGUUUGAAGAGAGCUAUGCUAAUACGGGACAUAGGUCUGCAGGGAGGGCAGGAAUAGGACCCAGCCUGAGGUUCGUCCUUGUUUGUGACCUAGGGAAAGGCACCAUUUGUCCAUCAGACACAGGCUCUUGGUACUUCAUUCCAUUUUGUUGAAAAAAAUUAACCAAGACGGGAGUUGUCAAAGCACUUCCCAAAGUCAGAGUGCUGUGUAAGUAUUGGCGUGAAGCACCAGACUGCCAACAACCACUUGCUUCUCCAGGCACAGAGUACAAAGGUACAAAAGUCCAGCCCCGGGCCGUCGAGCUGUCUCAUCUGGAGGAACAACGGGUCACGUGGUCUUCUUACUAUUUGCUUUGUACUGACAGCUAGUUCUGCUCUGCUCUUCUGCAGCCUGUCCUCCCCACCAUGAUGAACAAAUCCUCUUCAAUUCCAAGUCAAAAUAAAUGAGAGAUGGAGAGAUGUUUCAGCGACUAAGGUAGUUACUGUGCAAGCCCUAGGACCUGGGUCCACAGCACCCAAAAACAAUAGUGAAGAGAGCUUGGUGGCUUGCAGGUGCACAGUCAGCACCCGGGAGGCAAAGACAGGCAGCAACCUGGAGCUCACUGGUCAGUCAUGGUAAUUAGAGACUCCUAGAUCCCUUUGGGAGGCACUGUCUCAAAAUAACUGAGAAGAUGAAGAGAGGACAUCUGGGCAAAGACAUCUGAGGUCGACCUCUGGCCUUCGCAAACAUGAGCAUAAGAUCUGUGACAAAGAUGAAAUUAUCCUCCUUUAACCAACAGGAAGUCAUGAAGAGACACAAAAACAAACACAGCAACAACAACAACAACAACAAAAACCAGACUGAUCACAUAAAGGGAAAAAAUUUAGAGUCCGGAUGGGGACUCAGCUUUUUUGUAUCACCUUUAUUUUGGGGACUCUUCCUUCAGUCUCUCAAGGUCUUGGCAUCUAGUAUUGUGUCCACCUCAUUUCAAGCCACCAGCCCACCAGCCUCUAUGUGUGGCAAGAACUAAAAUUGUCCUCUAAUUCCUAGGCACCAAAGUAACUAACAGUAGUGACCAGGGGGGACAGGAGAGAUUCCUCUAUUUUGCCUUUAGUAGUACAGGUCUUGUGCAGGCAACCCACACAGGUACAGACAGAAACUAAUUAUCAUAGUCUCCAUAUUUGUUAAGUUUGAGCUAGUGAGUUGUGGAGAAUGUGUUUCAUCAUCUUGCUUUGAGAAAUAAACAUUCAUAAUGAUGUAGAGAGAUGGGUUUGAAUUUAGACAUCUCAGCAAUUAUGGACUUCUACACCUGAAAAUGCUCUUGAAGUCUUCUGAUGGUUGGUUUGAUGCUCGCUACUCAAAUUCAUUGCUUCCCUUGUGACUUCUGCCUCCGUGUUACACAUGGUGCUCCUCUACACGUACCUGGACAUCAGCUCACAUGCCCUAAAGAAGCUCUUCUCCAAUCCUAAGACGUUAGGAUAUUUAAACUGUAAGCUCCAGCCCAAAACACCCAGAGUGUGGUCCAGAGAAGGAGGCACACUUGUGUAUGGGCACUUCCCAUUCACCCAAGCAUUUCUUGUCCCUGGAGUAAAGAGAUGGUUGGAAGAAAAGCAGCUCAGCGCCUCUUUGGCAUCACCAUAAGGAAAAUAUUUUUGUUUGGUCCCAAGUCUCUUUCUUUAGUGGUGGCAAAGUUAAAGUGAGACUUUUAUCUAAGAGCAUGUGGCAAAAUGUUCCAUGCAGUUUUUAAAUUGGAGAUCUCAGGGUAGAACUCAGUGAAUAUUAACAUCAGAAAAUCUCCCCAGCCCAGGAACCAUCCUGUAAAUAGAGGCCGAAAAACGGUAAGGGCUGGGGUUGAGGUGUAAGAGAAGAGUGAUUGAGUGUCCUGUGUGCAUGACAGGACACUACACUCGUGAACACAGCAGGCCUGGCUGCCUACCUGAGACACGCGAACACAGAUGAACUCAGGCAACAUCCAACUUGGAGUGGGGAGAAGCUAAGUAGCCUCCACGGCUAGGUAAAGAGCUGCCGGGAACUGACAGCUGCUGGGAGAGGGCAGUCAGUUUUCUUUAAGGGUUAAUAUAGCUGGUCAUUCUUCAGGAGAUGGCUUCAAACCUGCAAGUAUACAGCAGCCAAAACUGAACUUGGUGGGUUAUUCAAAAGAAGGGGAAAAAGGAAGUUGAGAUGGAGUGGCAUAUAGUUAGGGAGAAGACUGGGAAGGAGUUAGCAGGGAAGAGUAGGGAAAUUAAUAUGAUCAGAACACAUUGUGCAAAAUUCUCAUAGAAUUCACAAGCUUCAGUGAACAUUCAUUGUGUGUGGUAUUGGGUUAUCGAAGAAUAUUUUCAUACAAGAGAGCAUAUGUUCCUCCAUACCUCCUGAUCCUCCCCUAUCCUCCUCUUCUCCUAUUAUCACAAGUCUUGUCUUGUUCCUAAAUAUUUUCACAUCUCCUUUCAUGACAUCUUGCGUAUGUGAUCACAUAAAGUCUAUAAAGCAACAUAAAAGAGAAAAAACGUGCAGUGUCUGCCCUGCUGAGACUGGCUUGAUUACUUAUUCUCUAGCUGCAUUCCUUCCCUUGCAAACGACAUGACUUAAUCCGUCUUUUUUUUUCUUUU
Molecule: small RNA, 2882 nt
Filed under: Rattus norvegicus (Norway rat)
Lineage: Eukaryota; Metazoa; Chordata; Mammalia; Rodentia; Muridae
Description: uncharacterized LOC102548637
Source: RNAcentral